This 1372-nucleotide ribosomal RNA is filed under the name uncultured bacterium. RNAcentral's name for it is "bacterial SSU rRNA". It matches the Rfam family "Bacterial small subunit ribosomal RNA". The record is from RNAcentral.
AGAGUUUGAUCCUGGCUCAGAUUGAACGCUGGCGGCAGGCCUAACACAUGCAAGUCGAGCGGUAGCACAGAGAGCUUGCUCUCGGGUGACGAGCGGCGGACGGGUGAGUAAUGUCUGGGAAACUGCCUGAUGGAGGGGGAUAACUACUGGAAACGGUAGCUAAUACCGCAUAAUGUCGCAAGACCAAAGUGGGGGACCUUCGGGCCUCAUGCCAUCAGAUGUGCCCAGAUGGGAUUAGCUAGUAGGUGGGGUAACGGCUCACCUAGGCGACGAUCCCUAGCUGGUCUGAGAGGAUGACCAGCCACACUGGAACUGAGACACGGUCCAGACUCCUACGGGAGGCAGCAGUGGGGAAUAUUGCACAAUGGGCGCAAGCCUGAUGCAGCCAUGCCGCGUGUGUGAAGAAGGCCUUCGGGUUGUAAAGCACUUUCAGCGGGGAGGAAGGCGAUAAGGUUAAUAACCUUGUCGAUUGACGUUACCCGCAGAAGAAGCACCGGCUAACUCCGUGCCAGCAGCCGCGGUAAUACGGAGGGUGCAAGCGUUAAUCGGAAUUACUGGGCGUAAAGCGCACGCAGGCGGUCUGUCAAGUCGGAUGUGAAAUCCCCGGGCUCAACCUGGGAACUGCAUUCGAAACUGGCAGGCUAGAGUCUUGUAGAGGGGGGGUAGAAUUCGUGUAGCGGAAAUGCGUAGAAUCGGAGGAAAUACCGGUGGCGAAGCCCCUGACAAAGACUGACGCUCAGGUGCGAAAGCGUGGAGCAAAGGAUUAGAAUCCUGUAGCCCGCCGUAAACGAUGUCGACUUGGGGUGUGCCCUUGAGGCGUGGCUUUCGGAGCUAAACGCGUUAAGUCGACCGCCUGGGAGUACGGCCCAAGGGUUAAAACUUCAAAUGAAUUGACGGGGGCCCGCCCAAGGUGGAGCAUGUGGUUUAAUUCGAUGCAACGCGAAGAACCUUACCUAUUCUUGACAUCCAGAGAACUUUCCAGAGAUGGAUUGGUGCCUUCGGGAAUCUGAGACAGGUGCUGCAUGGCUGUCGUCAGCUCGUGUUGUGAAAUGUUGGGUUAAGUCCCGCAACGAGCGCAACCCUUAUCCUUUGUUGCCAGCGGUUAGGCCGGGAACUCAAAGGAGACUGCCAGUGAUAAACUGGAGGAAGGUGGGGAUGACGUCAAGUCAUCAUGGCCCUUACGAGUAGGGCUACACACGUGCUACAAUGGCGCAUACAAAGAGAAGCGACCUCGCGAGAGCAAGCGGACCUCAUAAAGUGCGUCGUAGUCCGGAUUGGAGUCUGCAACUCGGCUCCAUGAAGUCGGAAUCGCUAGUAAUCGUGGAUCAGAAUGCCACGGUGAAUACGUUCCCGGGCCUUGCACACACCGCCC